This 564-nucleotide ribosomal RNA is filed under the name Clostridium sporogenes. Its description in RNAcentral is "partial 23S ribosomal RNA". It matches the Rfam family "Bacterial large subunit ribosomal RNA", at positions 1 to 569 of the family's 2925-position model. Lineage: Bacteria; Bacillati; Bacillota; Clostridia; Eubacteriales; Clostridiaceae. The record is from RNAcentral.
AGGUCAAGCUACAAAGGGCGCAUGGUGAAUGCCUUGGCACUAGGAGCCGAAGAAGGACGCGAUAAGCUGCGAUAAGCCUUGGGUAGCCGCAAAUAGGCUGAGAUCCAGGGAUUUCCGAAUGAGGAAACUCACAUGGGUAACCCCAUGUAUCAUGCACUGAAUACAUAGGUGUAUGAGGGUAAACCCGGGGAACUGAAACAUCUAAGUACCCGGAGGAAGAGAAAGAAAAAUCGAUUUCCUAAGUAGCGGCGAGCGAACGGGAAAGAGCCCAAACCAGAAACUUGUUUCUGGGGUUGCGGAUAGAUCAUAAAAGAAGAGGUAUCUUAAUCGAAGAGGGCUGGAACGCCCUACCAUAGAAGGUAAUAGUCCUGUAGGUAAAAAGAGAAAACUUCGAGAUCUAAUCCAGAGUACCACGAGACACGUGAAACCUUGUGGGAAGCAGGGAGGACCACCUCCCAAGGCUAAAUACUACCUAGUGACCGAUAGUGAAGCAGUACCGUGAGGGAAAGGUGAAAAGAACCCCGGAAGGGGAGUGAAAUAGAACCUGAAACCGUGUGCCUACAA